UAUAUAUAUAGAGUGAGGCUACUAUGCUAUCGGAAGCACGAAGUCUUCCGUGCUUCCAGCUCGUUUUCGAUGUUGCGACUUUCGAAUCGUCGAUCGGCUCCGUUAAAUUUCAUCUAGAGUAUUUGGAGUACCUAAAAAAUAAAUUUUAUUAUUUUUCGAUAUCAUUUACCUAGUGAUCGAAUGAGCUCAAAAUCAACAAAUUUCAAUAGUCGUAGUGAGCCGUUUGCAAGUUUAACGGUGUAGAAAUAUCCAAAUUACGUGAAAUUUUGAUAGAAAAUUCUUUAUACUAUAUAAAACAAGAUCAAUAUCUUUGAUUUAAAAUUUUAAUG
RNAcentral lists this long non-coding RNA (329 nucleotides) under Ananas comosus (pineapple). Its description in RNAcentral is "long non-coding RNA (ACOM_LNC032331)". The record is from RNAcentral. Lineage: Eukaryota; Viridiplantae; Streptophyta; Magnoliopsida; Poales; Bromeliaceae.